This 949-nucleotide long non-coding RNA is filed under the name Marmota monax (woodchuck). Lineage: Eukaryota; Metazoa; Chordata; Mammalia; Rodentia; Sciuridae. The record is from RNAcentral.
GAUUCAUGACAGGCAUUGGCAAUGGGAUUUUUCCCCCUCCUGGUAUGUUUAUUUCAAUAGAUUUAUGAAAUGUUUAGAGGCAAAAAAGAAUGAUAAUGGAUAGAUUUAUGGCGAAAUAAACCCACUAUUAGUGCUUCUAGGCACUUUGCUGUUUGUGAACAUGCUUUCUAAGAUAUUUGGAUCCUGCAUGGAUUUUGUGGUGUCCAUACAUAUUUGAAUGUCACUACACUGUUCUGAGCACAUUGCAUUUAUCUACAUUUAUCAGAAUAUAUUAUAAUCUGUUUUUUUGCUGCCAUCCUAUUUAUCAACCUGAAGAGGGCUACAUUGGGAUUCAAGAAUACUGGAAUCUAAUCCUAGUUCAACUUCCAAGUUUCCUACAAGCAGAAAAAAAAAAUGCAUGUUUUACUUUAACCACCAAUAAAAUUGGAAUACUCAAUCUUACCAUCUUAAUACCUGAAAUGUACAAGGUUAAAGAUACCUUAGAACACAUACUCAUCUUAAGACAGAUUCAGGUGAUCAAGCAAUGGAAUAGAAAUUUUAAUCGCAAUUACUUUUUUUCUUUUGGAUUUCCCUUGCCACUCACCUGGUCCAAUGGGGCUCAAAGUUACUUUGAAAUCAGUCUGAAUAUCUAAGUUAGACAAACAAAGAAAUGAUGUGAGCCUCCAUGGCCCCUUAAGCCUCCAACACUCCAACUCAUCUCAUUACCAAAAUCAACAAGCUCAAGCUCACCAUCAACACACACACACACACACACACACACACACCCCUGGACCCUUGAGAUCGCCUCUUACUGGUCUCAAAAUGGGAUUUUAUUCUGUUCUUCCACUAUGAAUUCCUUAUGCCUCAAAAUUUAUAUUCCCUUCAUUUUAAAUCUUACAAAUGUAUUUCUUAUUCUGUCUCUGGUCCGUCUGGUUCUUUUUCAGCUCUUGGUAGUUAAGCCUCAUGAUUU